Long non-coding RNA from Eleginops maclovinus (Patagonian blennie), 1047 nucleotides. RefSeq lists it as uncharacterized. The record is from RefSeq and is a predicted model, not a curated record. Lineage: Eukaryota; Metazoa; Chordata; Actinopteri; Perciformes; Eleginopidae. The transcript is spliced from 3 exons.
CGUCUGCAGCUUCAGUGAGACAUCUCAGGAUCCACUGCUCUUCCACUUUUAAUUCAGAUGUACUGGAAGUCCAGGAGAGAUUAAAGAACAGCCGUCAUCAGAGACUUCUUCUUAUACAUUUAUGAUUUUCAUACAUGGUUUUUGAUUUAUUCGCGCUUCCAUCUGAAAACGUAACCGGAAAUAAAUCAAAUAUCACAUAUAGGAUAACAUCUUUCUUCAGUCCUCCUGACAUGAUUUACAGCUCAGAUUAUUUAUUCUUCUAAACCCUAAAAGACAUGAAUGAAAACCAAUUGUAUUCACUAGUAAAAAAGACAAGGCAGCCUAAAAUAACUUAUACUUAAAGUCAAUUUGACAUAUUAUUACUUUCCGAUACGUCUAAUUCGAGAAGUGUUCUUAUUAUAGUAACUUCUAGACUUUAAUUGUUAUCACACGGGCGUGAACGGGCUUCUGUGUGAUGAAUGUGAUGCUGUGUUUCUUCACUCGCCAGUUUUUGCUCUUCUUCAGGCGAUCGCUCUUCGCUGCUUCCGAAAACAACGAGCAGCCAGCAGGGGGCGCUGAGGAGCAGAACCCUGCGGCUCACCAUGAUGCCGCCGCUGACCGACUGGAACACUGAGGGAUUCUGGGAAACUCAGGACACCUCACACUGUCCUCUGAAUACGGAGGUGUCUCAGAGAUGGAGGAUCUGCGUCUGUAUGCGUUCUAUCUAACACCUCUUUGCUUUUAAUUCAGGUAUUUAAUCUUCCUGUAAACCGGCGGCCUCAGGCUGGCAAGGAAGUGGGAUGACGUUUCAAGGUCUCCAAGCGUCACCGUUUACGUCAAAGCACAGACAAAAGGGUUUAAACUGACCAUGUAGCUGCCGGUGUGGAAGCCACACAUGUACCACAGCAUCAACAUGCUAGAGGAGGGGUCAGCGUCCGCGGAGCUCCCAAACGUCCAGAGAGGAGGAGAAGGAGGGAUGAAGGACACCGAGUCCUGGGAGAGGGAGAAGACAUGAGUCAGACACAGAGAGAGGAAUAUUAGUUAUUAGUAAAUAAAGUAUUAGUUUUA